RNAcentral lists this ribosomal RNA (1545 nucleotides) under Escherichia coli. Its description in RNAcentral is "bacterial SSU rRNA". It matches the Rfam family "Bacterial small subunit ribosomal RNA". Lineage: Bacteria; Pseudomonadati; Pseudomonadota; Gammaproteobacteria; Enterobacterales; Enterobacteriaceae. The record is from RNAcentral.
AGUUUGAUCAUGGCUCAGAUUGAACGCUGGCGGCAGGCCUAACACAUGCAAGUCGAACGGUAACAGGAAGCAGCUUGCUGCUUUGCUGACGAGUGGCGGACGGGUGAGUAAUGUCUGGGAAACUGCCUGAUGGAGGGGGAUAACUACUGGAAACGGUAGCUAAUACCGCAUAACGUCGCAAGACCAAAGAGGGGGACCUUCGGGCCUCUUGCCAUCGGAUGUGCCCAGAUGGGAUUAGCUAGUAGGUGGGGUAACGGCUCACCUAGGCGACGAUCCCUAGCUGGUCUGAGAGGAUGACCAGCCACACUGGAACUGAGACACGGUCCAGACUCCUACGGGAGGCAGCAGUGGGGAAUAUUGCACAAUGGGCGCAAGCCUGAUGCAGCCAUGCCGCGUGUAUGAAGAAGGCCUUCGGGUUGUAAAGUACUUUCAGCGGGGAGGAAGGGAGUAAAGUUAAUACCUUUGCUCAUUGACGUUACCCGCAGAAGAAGCACCGGCUAACUCCGUGCCAGCAGCCGCGGUAAUACGGAGGGUGCAAGCGUUAAUCGGAAUUACUGGGCGUAAAGCGCACGCAGGCGGUUUGUUAAGUCAGAUGUGAAAUCCCCGGGCUCAACCUGGGAACUGCAUCUGAUACUGGCAAGCUUGAGUCUCGUAGAGGGGGGUAGAAUUCCAGGUGUAGCGGUGAAAUGCGUAGAGAUCUGGAGGAAUACCGGUGGCGAAGGCGGCCCCCUGGACGAAGACUGACGCUCAGGUGCGAAAGCGUGGGGAGCAAACAGGAUUAGAUACCCUGGUAGUCCACGCCGUAAACGAUGUCGACUUGGAGGUUGUGCCCUUGAGGCGUGGCUUCCGGAGCUAACGCGUUAAGUCGACCGCCUGGGGAGUACGGCCGCAAGGUUAAAACUCAAAUGAAUUGACGGGGGCCCGCACAAGCGGUGGAGCAUGUGGUUUAAUUCGAUGCAACGCGAAGAACCUUACCUGGUCUUGACAUCCACAGAACUUUCCAGAGAUGGAUUGGUGCCUUCGGGAACUGUGAGACAGGUGCUGCAUGGCUGUCGUCAGCUCGUGUUGUGAAAUGUUGGGUUAAGUCCCGCAACGAGCGCAACCCUUAUCCUUUGUUGCCAGCGGUCCGGCCGGGAACUCAAAGGAGACUGCCAGUGAUAAACUGGAGGAAGGUGGGGAUGACGUCAAGUCAUCAUGGCCCUUACGACCAGGGCUACACACGUGCUACAAUGGCGCAUACAAAGAGAAGCGACCUCGCGAGAGCAAGCGGACCUCAUAAAGUGCGUCGUAGUCCGGAUUGGAGUCUGCAACUCGACUCCAUGAAGUCGGAAUCGCUAGUAAUCGUGGAUCAGAAUGCCACGGUGAAUACGUUCCCGGGCCUUGUACACACCGCCCGUCACACCAUGGGAGUGGGUUGCAAAAGAAGUAGGUAGCUUAACCUUCGGGAGGGCGCUUACCACUUUGUGAUUCAUGACUGGGGUGAAGUCGUAACAAGGUAACCGUAGGGGAACCUGCGGUUGGAUCACCUCCUUACCUUAAAGAAGC